This 69-nucleotide transfer RNA is filed under the name Cucujoidea sp. 3 KM-2017. RNAcentral describes it as "tRNA-Gln". It matches the Rfam family "tRNA". Rfam says of the family: Transfer RNA (tRNA) molecules are approximately 80 nucleotides in length. Their secondary structure includes four short double-helical elements and three loops (D, anti-codon, and T loops). Further hydrogen bonds mediate the characteristic L-shaped molecular structure. tRNAs have two regions of fundamental functional importance: the anti-codon, which is responsible for specific mRNA codon recognition, and the 3' end, to which the tRNAs corresponding amino acid is attached (by aminoacyl-tRNA synthetases). tRNAs cope with the degeneracy of the genetic code in two manners: having more than one tRNA (with a specific anti-codon) for a particular amino acid; and 'wobble' base-pairing, i.e. permitting non-standard base-pairing at the 3rd anti-codon position. The record is from RNAcentral. Lineage: Eukaryota; Metazoa; Arthropoda; Insecta; Coleoptera.
UAUAUUUUAGUAUAAGAUGUACAAAGGUUUUUGAUACCUAAAGUAAUAGUUUAAUUCUAUUAAAUAUAA